Molecule: long non-coding RNA, 733 nt
Organism: Xiphophorus couchianus (Monterrey platyfish)
Lineage: Eukaryota; Metazoa; Chordata; Actinopteri; Cyprinodontiformes; Poeciliidae
Exons: 2
Source: RefSeq, a predicted model, not a curated record
UCCUGCGUGGGAGGGCUGCGAUGUGAGGCGGAAGCUUGGUAGCUUGGAAACGGCAAAACCAAGGCGGAGCUUCUUCCUUGAAGGUGGAGCUAGGUCCACCCAGGUGUUUUGCACAGCUGAAUGGUUGCCAUGGGAGAUUUAAGGAUUCUUCAAACAUGCAUGAAAGCAUCAAGGCAACGCUCCAGGUCCUGGAGAUGAUGGAGAAAAGAUGGCGGCCAGGGCGUGGCGCAAUUUACGUACGCUUCCAUCGACCACUUAACAUUUAAGUUGACAUUUCGAAAAUGGAUUUGCUCAAUGGAAACGCGCCAGUUUCUUGUUUUUUGUUCAAAAGUUUCGGCGUUGGGAUCAGGUGGGUUUUUUUGGUCAAUAAAACUGGCGUAAACCAUGUAGAAGACGACGACAGGAAGUGGCUUGGUGUCACUCAGUGACUCAUCGAAGGGACAAACUCAGUCAUGUGUGAUUUAAAUUGCGUUUCCUACUUAAUGGAAACAUCACAGAUUGUGGGGUUGUUGUUUUUUUCAACAUUAGUGGAAUAUUAACAAAGUUUUGCGCACAUUUGUAAUGGAAACGCAGCUGCUGCCGAUCGGACGGCACCACCAGUUCCUGCUGGAAACAGGGAGCAUGAUUUUCUUUAUUUAUUUAAACAAGCUUUGUAUUGAAGUAGAUAUCUGUAUUUAAAGAUUAUUCCCAUUUUUGAUGUUUAGUUGAUUAAUGAACUUAGCUGUACUGUGUC